Molecule: transfer RNA, 78 nt
Filed under: Bacillus anthracis str. Sterne
Lineage: Bacteria; Bacillati; Bacillota; Bacilli; Caryophanales; Bacillaceae
Also listed under: 3 other names
Description: tRNA-Asn
Rfam family: tRNA
About the family: Transfer RNA (tRNA) molecules are approximately 80 nucleotides in length. Their secondary structure includes four short double-helical elements and three loops (D, anti-codon, and T loops).
Source: RNAcentral
UCCGCAGUAGCUCAGCGGUAGAGCUAUCGGCUGUUAACCGAUCGGUCGUAGGUUCGAUUCCUACCUGCGGAGCCAUUG